UACGGAGGUGGCAAGCGUUGCUCGGAUUCACUGGGUGUAAAGGGCAAGUAGGCGGUUUUGUAAGCCUCGCCUGAAAGGCUCUGGCUCAACCAGAGCAGUGGGCGGGGGACUGCAGAACUUGAGGACAGGAGAGGCGAAUGGAAUUCUCGGUGUAAGAGUGAAAUCUGUAGAGAUCGAGAGGAACACCAGUGGCGAAGGCGAUUCGCUGGCCUGUUUCUGACGCUGAGAGGCGAAAGCUAGGGGAGCAAACAGG
Molecule: ribosomal RNA, 253 nt
Filed under: uncultured bacterium
Lineage: Bacteria
Description: partial 16S ribosomal RNA
Rfam family: Bacterial small subunit ribosomal RNA
Source: RNAcentral